RNAcentral lists this ribosomal RNA (207 nucleotides) under uncultured bacterium. Its description in RNAcentral is "partial 16S ribosomal RNA". It matches the Rfam family "Bacterial small subunit ribosomal RNA", at positions 568 to 774 of the family's 1533-position model. The record is from RNAcentral.
CGCGCAGGCGGUCUCUUAAGUCUGAUGUGAAAGCCCCCGGCUCAACCGGGGAGGGUCAUUGGAAACUGGGAGACUUGAGGACAGAAGAGGAGAGUGGAAUUCUAAGUGUAGCGGUGAAAUGCGUAGAUAUUUGGAGGAACACCAGUGGCGAAGGCGGCUCUCUGGUCUGUUACUGACGCUGAGGCGCGAAAGCGUGGGGAGCAAACA